RNAcentral lists this long non-coding RNA (1838 nucleotides) under Sus scrofa (pig). RNAcentral describes it as "lncRNA (ENSSSCG00060053543.1)". The record is from RNAcentral. Lineage: Eukaryota; Metazoa; Chordata; Mammalia; Artiodactyla; Suidae.
GGACAAUUUCAGUGUCUCAUUCUCCACUGGCCACGUCAUGUAUGCUUGAGUUAUUGGUCGAUAAUAAGCAAUGAAGGAGUAACCUAUGAGGGCAGUGAGUACACACAGAUUUCCCCAGGAAGCCCCUCUUAAACCACCCUGCAACAAAUUGUUAAAACUUCAGGGACUUUCGGCAGGGUGGUGCAGGCAAACCUUGGGCAGGCGAGGGCAAAUAUCACACCACAAACUACUGUGACUGCAAAUUAAAUUCCUGAUACCUAUGCCAUUCAUUUAUGGAAAGAUAACGUUGUAGAUGCUGUAUGGUGCUGCCCACCCCCACCUCCCGCUUCAGGAAGAAGGGGACUCCCUGCCCCCCACCUGCCUGCCCACCCCCGCUGCCAGCUGCUGGGAAUGUGCUCAAAGGCUCUUACCAUCAACCCUCUUUGGGGAUUGCCUCAAGCUGAAGGAAACUUCCUCAACCCCAGCUCCACCUCCUCCCAGGACCAGAGAGCAUCCAGUGACUGAGGGAUGGGGUGGGGGUGGGUGGUAGGAAUGAAGGCCCAGCCCCUCCUCCCAUCUUGGGGCCGCUCUGAGGGGUCGUCCAGCUUCAGACCUCCCGGGGGUUGGCCUUGCUGGGAAUCCAUCCAGAUCAAGGUUUCCAUGUGCCUGAUCCCCCCUCCUCUCCUCCUCUCCCGGAGCACACUCCCGCAUCCGUGAUCCUCACGAGUCUCCACUCAGAAUCCGCCUCCUAGAAAACCAACCUGCCAUGCAGGCAAGAUGAGCAAUCCAAACAGUGCACCAAGGAAAACAAGCAUGGCCAGUGCCCGUGGGUACUUCCAGAGAUGCUCCUGCGUGUGCGAAUGUGUAGAUAUGAAAAUAUGCAUGUACAUAUGCACAUUUUGGCCGUUUUCUUAGAAAAGAUGUAGCAUCUUAUACUUUAAAAUUUAAAAUCAUUUUGUUUUUGUUUUUGUUUUGUCUUUUGUUUUUAGGGCUGCACCCGUGGCAUGUGGAAGUUCCCAGGCUAGGGGUGGAAUCAGAGUUGCAGCUGCCAGCCUACACCACAGACGCAGCAACAGGGGAUCCAAGUCUCAUCUGUGACCUACACAACAGCUCAUGGCAAUGCCAGAUCCUUAACCCAUGGAGUGAGGCCAGGGAUCGAACCUGCAUCCUCAUGGAUACUAAGUCAGGUUCUUAACCCACUGAGCCACAACGGAAACUUCCAGAUCAUUUUAAAAGGUGCCUUUCUUCAAAAUGAGGGACUUAAGGAAUCAAAAGAUACCACAUUCCAUUCUUAAUAUGAAAAUCUUGGGUUAAGCCUUUAAACCACUUCCACGCAGGCCGUGCGUGCUGGAUGCAUAUUUGCAGAUAGGGUAAUACCUGGAUCACCAUUGUCAGCGUCUCUGGUGGGAAGUGGAAUGUUUUUAUUAAAAAUUCUCUUGUUUGCUUUUCAGGAGAAAAAAAAAAUGAAAGCAGAUCUGCAAGCCGGGUCUGUUUUUAAUCAGAGCAUAAUCUUUAUGAGACAAGGCAAGGCUGAGAAUUAUUUAAUCCAAUAUUUUUCAAGAAAAAUACAUGUUCGGGCCACACCGGCAGCAUAUGGAAGUUCCCAGAGGUUGAACCGAAAUGCACCACAGCUUUAGUAAUGCCGGAUCCUUAAGCCACUGAACGAGGCCAGGGAUCAAACCCACAUCCUCGUGGACACGGUGUUGAGCUCUUAACCUGCUGAGACACCAUGGGAUCUCCCUAUCCAAAGGAACGCUUGACUGCUGUGAACAAGCACAAAUAUAUUUACUUGAACUACCAAUCAACUGAGUUAAUUGGAUCAAUUUGUGUCCUUGACUAAGAACAAGAAAAUGAUUCUG